RNAcentral lists this ribosomal RNA (436 nucleotides) under uncultured bacterium. Its description in RNAcentral is "bacterial SSU rRNA". It matches the Rfam family "Bacterial small subunit ribosomal RNA", at positions 355 to 786 of the family's 1533-position model. The record is from RNAcentral.
UGAGGAAUAUUGGUCAAUGGGCGGGAGCCUGAACCAGCCAAGCCGCGUGAGGGAAGAAGGCCCUAUGGGUCGUAAACCUCUUUUGUCAGGGAACAAAAGCGAGUAUGUAUACUAGUCUGAGUGUACCUGAAGAAAAAGCAUCGGCUAACUCCGUGCCAGCAGCCGCGGUAAUACGGAGGAUGCGAGCGUUAUCCGGAUUUAUUGGGUUUAAAGGGUGCGUAGGCGGCGAUGCAAGUCAGCGGUAAAAGCCCGGGGCUCAACCCCGGCGAGCCGUUGAAACUGCAGUGCUAGAGAAGGCGAGAGGUACCCGGAAUGCGCAGUGUAGCGGUGAAUGCAUUAGAUAUUGCGCAGAACUCCGAUUGCGAAUGGCAGCGUACUGGCGCCUGACUGACGCUGAGGCACGAAAGCGUGGGGCAUCGAACAGGAGUUAGAUACC